GUGUUGUGUGAAAGGAGAGAAGGUGAGCACGCCCCUCGACACGGAUGGACGAGCCCUCGGGCCUAACAACACGCAUAUGGUUAAGGCGUUGCCACCUACAUCCUGGCAUCUAACCGUCGUUUUUU
RNAcentral lists this non-coding RNA (125 nucleotides) under Catagonus wagneri (Chacoan peccary). The record is from RNAcentral. Lineage: Eukaryota; Metazoa; Chordata; Mammalia; Artiodactyla; Tayassuidae.